UACGGAGGAUCCGAGCGUUAUCCGGAUUUAUUGGGUUUAAAGGGUCCGCAGGCGGAUUUAUAAGUCAGUGGUGAAAUCUCUCGGCUCAACCGAGAAACUGCCAUUGAUACUGUAAGUCUUGAAUUCGGUCGAAGUGGGCGGAAUAUGACAUGUAGCGGUGAAAUGCUUAGAUAUGUGAUAGAACACCGAUAGCGAAGGCAGCUCACUAGGCCUGGAUUGACGCUCAGGGACGAAAGCGUGGGGAGCAAACAGG
This 253-nucleotide ribosomal RNA is filed under the name uncultured bacterium. RNAcentral describes it as "partial 16S ribosomal RNA". It matches the Rfam family "Bacterial small subunit ribosomal RNA", at positions 524 to 776 of the family's 1533-position model. The record is from RNAcentral.